GACGAACGCUGGCGGCAUGCCUAACACAUGCAAGUCGAACGAGACCUUCGGGUCUAGUGGCGCACGGGUGCGUAACGCGUGGGAACCUGCCCUUAGGUUCGGAAUAACUCCCCGAAAGGGGUGCUAAUACCGGAUAAUGUCUUCCGACCAAAGAUUUAUCGCCUUGGGAUGGGCCCGCGUUGGAUUAGCUAGUUGGUAGGGUACAAGCCUACCAAGGCGAGGAUCCAUAGCUGGUCUGAGAGGAUGAUCAGCCACACUGGGACUGAGACACGGCCCAGACUCCUACGGGGGGCAGCAGUGGGGAAUAUUGGACGAGGGGCGAAAGCCUGAUCCAGCAAUGCCGCGUGAGUGAUGAAGGCCUUAGGGUUGUAAAGCUCUUUUACCCGGGAUGAUAAUGACAGUACCGGGAGAAUAAGCGCCGGCUAACUCCGUG
Molecule: ribosomal RNA, 433 nt
Filed under: uncultured bacterium
Lineage: Bacteria
Description: partial 16S ribosomal RNA
Rfam family: Bacterial small subunit ribosomal RNA
Source: RNAcentral